This 1343-nucleotide ribosomal RNA is filed under the name uncultured bacterium. RNAcentral's name for it is "16S ribosomal RNA". It matches the Rfam family "Bacterial small subunit ribosomal RNA", at positions 28 to 1378 of the family's 1533-position model. The record is from RNAcentral.
GACGAACGCUUGCGGCGUGCUUAACACAUGCAAGUCGAACGGAAAGGCCCUGCUUUUGUGGGGUGCUCGAGUGGCGAACGGGUGAGUAACACGUGAGUAACCUGCCCUUGACUUUGGGAUAACUUCAGGAAACUGGGGCUAAUACCGGAUAGGAGCUCCUGCUGCAUGGUGGGGGUUGGAAAGUUUCGGCGGUUGGGGAUGGACUCGCGGCUUAUCAGCUUGUUGGUGGGGUAGUGGCUUACCAAGGCUUUGACGGGUAGCCGGCCUGAGAGGGUGACCGGCCACAUUGGGACUGAGAUACGGCCCAGACUCCUACGGGAGGCAGCAGUGGGGAAUAUUGCACAAUGGGCGGAAGCCUGAUGCAGCAACGCCGCGUGCGGGAUGACGGCCUUCGGGUUGUAAACCGCUUUCGCCUGUGACGAAGCGUGAGGGACGGUAAUGGGUAAAGAAGCACCGGCUAACUACGUGCCAGCAGCCGCGGUGAUACGUAGGGUGCGAGCGUUGUCCGGAUUUAUUGGGCGUAGAGGGCUCGUAGGUGGUUGAUCGCGUCGGAAGUGUAAUCUUGGGGCUUAACCCUGAGCGUGCUUUCGAUACGGGUUGACUUGAGGAAGGUAGGGGAGAAUGGAAUUCCUGGUGGAGCGGUGGAAUGCGCAGAUAUCAGGAGGAACACCAGUGGCGAAGGCGGUUCUCUGGGCCUUUCCUGACGCUGAGGAGCGAAAGCGUGGGGAGCGAACAGGCUUAGAUACCCUGGUAGUCCACGCUGUAAACGGUGGGUACUAGGUGUGGGGUCCAUUCCACGGGUUCCGUGCCGUAGCUAACGCUUUAAGUACCCCGCCUGGGGAGUACGGCCGCAAGGCUAAAACUCAAAGGAAUUGACGGGGCCCCGCACAAGCGGCGGAGCAUGCGGAUUAAUUCGAUGCAACGCGUAGAACCUUACCUGGGUUUGACAUGGAUCGGGAGCGCUCAGAGAUGGGUGUGCCUCUUUUGGGGUCGGUUCACAGGUGGUGCAUGGCUGUCGUCAGCUCGUGUCGUGAGAUGUUGGGUUAAGUCCCGCAACGAGCGCAACCCUUGUUCACUGUUGCCAGCACGUUAUGGUGGGGACUCAGUGGAGACCGCCGGGGUCAACUCGGAGGAAGGUGGGGAUGACGUCAAGUCAUCAUGCCCCUUAUGUCCAGGGCUUCACGCAUGCUACAAUGGCUGGUACAGAGAGUGGCGAGCCUGUGAGGGUGAGCGAAUCUCGGAAAGCCGGUCUCAGUUCGGAUUGGGGUCUGCAACUCGACCUCAUGAAGUCGGAGUCGCUAGUAAUCGCAGAUCAGCAACGCUGCGGUGAAUACGUUCCCGGG